Rhinolophus ferrumequinum (greater horseshoe bat) is the source of this 133-nucleotide small nucleolar RNA. The record is from Ensembl. NCBI's taxonomy places the organism in Eukaryota, Metazoa, Chordata, Mammalia, Chiroptera, Rhinolophidae.
ACCCUCCGGUUCCCUUUCCCAUCGUUUCUGAACACCAGUCUUGGUGGUUGUAAGGGGAGUAAAAGUAGUACUAAGGCUGGCCUCAGAGUGCUUAUAGUCUGCUAUAUAGUGUGUGGGCUAGUUUCAAAUAGGG